UUUUCCAAAAACAUAUUUAAUAGAACUAAUUAUUAAUAUAACCUGCUCAAUGUAUAAUAAAUAGCCGCAGUUUAUACUGUGCUAAGGUAGCAUAAUCAUUUGUCUUUUAAUUAAAGACUAGAAUGAAAGGUAUAACAUUUAAAUUAUUAUUCAAAUUAUCAUAUUAAAAUUUAAUCUAAAUGUAAAAAAGCAUUUAUUAUAAAGAAAGACGAUAAGACCCUAUUGAACUUAACUUAAGUUAAACUGGGGAAGUUAAAUAACUAACAUUUUAUAAACAUUUCAACAAAUGACCUAAUACAAUUAAUUUAAUGAACAAGUUACCAUAGGGAUAACAGCGUAAUAUUUUUUCAUAGAUCUUAUAAAAAAAAAUGAUUACGACCUCGAUGUUGAAUUAAUUAUUCUAUUAUAACGCAAAAUUUAAANAGAUGGUCCGCUC
This 436-nucleotide ribosomal RNA is filed under the name Heteropoda boiei. Its description in RNAcentral is "partial 16S ribosomal RNA". The record is from RNAcentral. Lineage: Eukaryota; Metazoa; Arthropoda; Arachnida; Araneae; Sparassidae.